This 380-nucleotide ribosomal RNA is filed under the name uncultured eukaryote. RNAcentral describes it as "partial 18S ribosomal RNA". It matches the Rfam family "Eukaryotic small subunit ribosomal RNA", at positions 592 to 976 of the family's 1831-position model. The record is from RNAcentral.
CAAUAGCGUAUAUUAAAGUUGUUGCGGUUAAAAAGCUCGUAGUUGGAUUUCUGCUGAGAACGACCGGUCCGCCCUUUGGGUGUGUAUCUGGCUCUUUCUUGGCAUCUUCUUGGUGAACGUUGCUGCACUUGACUGUGUGGAGCGCUACCCAGGACUUUUACUUUGAGGAAAUUAGAGUGUUUCAAGCAGGCAUACGCCUUGAAUACAUUAGCAUGGAAUAAUAAGAUAGGACCUCGGUUCUAUUUUGUUGGUUUCUAGAGCUGAGGUAAUGAUUGAUAGGGACAGUUUGGGGCAUUCGUAUUUAACUGUCAGAGGUGAAAUUCUUGGAUUUGUUAAAGACGAACUACUGCGAAAGCAUUUGCCAGGGAUGUUUUCAUUAA